UACAGAGGGUGCGAGCGUUAAUCGGAAUUACUGGGCGUAAAGGGUGCGUAGGCGGUUAUUUAAGUUAGAUGUGAAAUCCCCGGGCUUAACCUGGGAAUUGCAUUUGAUACUGGAUGGCUAGAGUAGAGUAGAGGGAAGUGGAAUUUCCGGUGUAGAGGUGAAAUUCGUAGAUAUCGGGAGGAACACCGGUGGCGAAGGCGGCGACCUGGGUAGAUACUGACGCUGAGGUGCGAAAGCGUGGGGAGCAAACAGG
RNAcentral lists this ribosomal RNA (253 nucleotides) under uncultured bacterium. RNAcentral's name for it is "partial 16S ribosomal RNA". It matches the Rfam family "Bacterial small subunit ribosomal RNA", at positions 524 to 776 of the family's 1533-position model. The record is from RNAcentral.